Cryptotermes secundus is the source of this 2015-nucleotide RNA transcript. It is a transcript of the gene named activating signal cointegrator 1 complex subunit 1, with no coding region annotated. The transcript has 10 exons. NCBI's taxonomy places the organism in Eukaryota, Metazoa, Arthropoda, Insecta, Blattodea, Kalotermitidae. The record is from RefSeq and is a predicted model, not a curated record.
CUAUAUCGCAAUUUUAUCUUAGACAUGUAACUUGAUAACUUGAUUGUGCCUUAAUUUCACAUCUCGUUGGCAGACUAAUGGACCGCUCAUGGACUGAACAGUAAUCAUUGUGCUUCCAAUGGACAUAUUGAAGCCAGAUUUAAUGUGGAUAGAGGGCAGAUGCUAUAGACUAAAUAUUGAGGACUCAUCCUUCAGAGGAGAGGAGGAUGAACAAUUUGCAGACGAUGGAUUCGCAGAAGGAAAUUCUGACUGUCCAGUAGAAGAACUUGGUGAAUCUUUUGAGAUUGAAACUACAGAAGAUGGAAGAUACAGAGCAUCUCUUCUCAUUCCACGAUACUAUUUUGCACGUGUGGUUGGAUCUAAGGGUGCUGUGCGUCGUCGGCUUGAGAAUGAAACUAAGACUCAGAUCCAUGUUCCAAGACAGGGGCAAGAUGGAUGCAUUGUUAUCAUCGGAAGCACUAAGAGCAUGGUAUCAGCUGCUGGAAGAAGGAUUAACCUGAUAGUUAUGUCAGCACGACAGAAACAGCAGUUUACCCACUUUCUUUCUAUUCCGAUGGUAGGAGAUUCCAUAAAGAAGAGGUUUAUGAUUUUUAAGGAAGAAGUCCUUGACAUCUGUAAGAACAGUCAUGGUAUUGAUGCAUCUAUUUUUCAAGUACCAGAGAAAUUGCAUCUGACUCUUGGUACAUUGGUGAUUAUGGACACAAAUGAUCGAGAGAAGGCUGCACGGACCUUGGCAGAGUGCAAGGAGAGCAUCAUCACGCCACUAUUGAAGAACAGAGCACUUGUGGUUUGUAUGGCUGGUGUUGAAUACAUGAAUGAUGAUCCAGCUGAAGUGGACGUUCUGUAUGGGAAAGUGCAUGUUAAGGACGGGUCUCGCAUGCUGCAGGAGGUGGCCGAUGGGGUCAUUGAUCACUUUUGUUCUAAAGGUCUUAUGGAGAAACGAUAUGAAAGAGUAAAACUCCAUGUGACACUCAUGAACACGCUUUUCCGCAGUGAUGACGCUGAAUCUGAAAUGUCAAGAAGGAAGCAGAAACAUCGAGAGACAUUUGAUGCUACAAACAUCCUUAAGAAUUUUGAAGAUUAUGAUUUUGGAGAACAGACUAUCGAUAGCAUACAUUUAUCUCUGCGAUUUUCUACAUCUGCCAGUGGCUUUUACCAAGUCACUGCUGACGUAAGCUUCACUUGAAUGUUAAAGAAUACUGAGAAGCAAAGUUCUUAUGCAGUCCAAUAUAUUCGGACUGCUAUUGAACCGAUUCUGAGAGGGACGAGGAAAGUUGGAGUUCUGAUUCCGCGGACGAAGGGUCAUCACCUUCGUCAGCAACUUGGGGACCGCCAGACCAGUGUGACUGGAGAGGUGUGAAUAAUUAUUCCGGUGUAUCUGCGGGAAUAAAUAUCACUGCAGCUCAACAUCACUGGCCUGCUUCCUCUUAAUCGCAACUGAGGUGUCGUGUGUGCUCUUCGUGUGGGAAGCAGUCUAGCGUUUGUACGAAGUGCGUGAGCUGCGACGUUGGACUCUGCAUUUCGGAAUGUUUUUGGCAGUACCAUACGAAGGCCACAUUACCAUAGAUGACGCAGGAGGGAAGGCUGUUUCCUCAUGAAGAUGGUGAACAUAUAUCACGUUCUGUGGUGUGGCUCUGACAGAAACCAUUACAUUGAAUUACUUAGGAAAGAUAUGGAAUAUAUUCACAGAGAUAAAUGUGAAUACAAAAGGUGCACAGGAUGGUGGAGGAAAGAUUAUCAAAAUGAAUUUUGAAUUACUGUCUGUGACUAGGAAGAAUUUACGAACAUUGGAUAAAGCUGGAACAGGCAUGUAAGCCCAUUUUUUAAAAGGCAUAAGAAGAAUAAGUUCAAGAUCCAUAAUGUGCAGGGCUAAUGACAUGCCACAUCUGAUAACUGGUUACCACCUUCACAUAGGAUACUCCAUGUCAGUCCUGACCUACAUGCAUUUCAAGAAUUCGUUUUAUUGUAAUUUCUUUGUAUUCAUUUUUCUUGUAUAAAUACUAUACAGAGUAUCA